CGGAGAGGUAAACUAAGGCAUAAAUGAAGCACUGCGAGGCACACGACUUGGAGAAACAUUUAACAAGGAACGUUUGUUCUUCUGCAAACACUGAGCAUUUUAUGAUCACAAGCUUAGAUUACAGCAGAGCUCUUGGCAUGCCAAAUACUACUGCAGUUGUACAAGCCUAUUUUUCAAGAGGAAAAGACAGAGAAGCAACCCAGUAGUGCAUGUUUGUAACAGAAUCUGGCUAAAGCAAAGCAACCAGCGUGUCUCCAGCAUGAAUAAGCAAACUGUGCCUUGGGCUACAUCAGGAGGCCAACAGAUCAUGGGAAGAUCCCCACUGACUCAUCCACUUUGGCCACACGAAAUACUGUGUCUGUUUCCAGGCCUCUCCCAGUUGAAGGGGAAUGCGAAAGAAGGAAAGAGGGUCCAGAAGCUAAUCGGGGCCUGGGGCACGUGAUCAAAAAACAGAAGCUGAGCUUCUAUAGACAAGGGAAGAUGAAGCUGAGAGUGCCCUACAACUAUUCCAAAGAUGUGCAUCAUAUGUAUGCAGGAAUGCACAGAAAUGGUAUUACCCCUUUAUAAAUUAAAGGAGCAAAAUGAAGAUCUAAAAGCAUCAGUAGGCCACAAGGACAAAGACAAAGGAUUCUUGCUUGAUGAAAUCAUUAUAUUAAUAAGACUAAGUCCAUCCUAAGCACAGGAACAGACUGUCAGCAGAAUCUUCUC
RNAcentral lists this long non-coding RNA (708 nucleotides) under Gallus gallus (chicken). RNAcentral's name for it is "long non-coding RNA NONGGAT003718". The record is from RNAcentral. Lineage: Eukaryota; Metazoa; Chordata; Aves; Galliformes; Phasianidae.